GGUGAACGCCGGCGGUGUGCCUAAUACAUGCAAGUCGUACGCACUGGCCCAACUGAUUGAUGGUGCUUGCACCUGAUUGACGAUGGAUCACCAGUGAGUGGCGGACGGGUGAGUAACACGUAGGUAACCUGCCCCGGAGCGGGGGAUAAUUUCUGGAAACGGAAACUAAAACCGGAUAGGUAGGGAUCUCGCAUGAGGACCUUAUUAAAGGGGCUACGGCCCUGAACAUGGAUGGACCUGCGGUGCAUUAGCUAGUUGGUGGGAUAACGGCCUACCAAGGCGACGAUGCAUAGCCGACCUGAGAGGGCGAACGGCCACAUUGGGACUGAGACACGGCCCAA
This 341-nucleotide ribosomal RNA is filed under the name uncultured bacterium. RNAcentral's name for it is "bacterial SSU rRNA". It matches the Rfam family "Bacterial small subunit ribosomal RNA", at positions 28 to 334 of the family's 1533-position model. The record is from RNAcentral.